Oreochromis niloticus (Nile tilapia) is the source of this 667-nucleotide long non-coding RNA. RefSeq lists it as uncharacterized. The record is from RefSeq and is a predicted model, not a curated record. The transcript has 2 exons. NCBI's taxonomy places the organism in Eukaryota, Metazoa, Chordata, Actinopteri, Cichliformes, Cichlidae.
GCGAUCGAGACUAUAAGCUACACAAGUACAGAAGAACCUGCAUCAAAUUCAGGAUCAAGAGUUCACGAUGAUUCACAAACUACAAGCAACCAAAUAUGAGUAUGCUCACUAGUCUAAGUUUAUUUGUCGCUUCAGGUAAAGAGAUGUAAAAUACAUUAGUCCUGAUAACAUAAACCAAAAGCCUUUCUAGAGGUUAAAAACCUAAAUAAGAUGAAUAAACAUUAAUUUUCCAGUUUUAACUGUGAGAAGACUGUUUGUGCUUUAAACAGAAAAUGACCCGGGCUCUGAAACUACAUUAAAGGUACAGUAUGUGAAAUCUCACCACUAGGGUGUGCAGGUUAGAGUCAGGGGAGUUCGAUUUUCUUACCCCAUCACAAUUUAAGUGCAUUAUCCUAGCUACGGUGGCCACUGUGUGACAAAACUCUGGCCACAGUUCAUCUGUAGUGAGUGUAGGCUGUCAGUCCACUGUUUACCUCAGCUGUCAGUAUGUGUCCAUGUCUAUUUACUCUGGAGGACGCUGUAAAACUUUGCGAAAGGAGUUCAAUACGACGAUGAUCACUUCUGUUCGGUGAAGCAAUACUGAGACAUUUGUGAACCUGCUGCGAGUUUCUACCUGUUUAAGCUGGAUCUCAGAGUUGACAUGGACAUCACAGAUCUGGCAGUGGAA